Molecule: ribosomal RNA, 446 nt
Filed under: uncultured bacterium
Lineage: Bacteria
Description: partial 16S ribosomal RNA
Rfam family: Bacterial small subunit ribosomal RNA
Source: RNAcentral
GGCCAGACUCCUACGGGAGGCAGCAGUGGGGAAUAUUGCACAGUGGGGGAAACCCUGAUGCAGCGACGCCGCGUGAGCGAUGAAGUAUUUCGGUAUGUAAAGCUCUAUCAGCAGGGAAGAAAAUGACGGUACCUGACUAAGAAGCCCCGGCUAACUCCGUGCCAGCAGCCGCGGUAAUACGGAGGAUCCGAGCGUUAUCCGGAUUCACUGGGUGUAAAGGGAGCGUAGACGGCGACGCAAGUCUGGAGUGAAAGCCCGGGGCCCAACCCCGGGACUGCUCUGGAAACUGCGGCGCUGGAGUACGGGAGGGGCAGGCGGAAUUCCUGGUGUAGCGGUGAAAUGCGUAGAUAUCAGGAGGAACACCAGUGGCGAAGGCGGCCUGCUGGACGAUGACUGACGUUGAGGCUCGAAAGCGUGGGGAGCAAACAGGAUUAGAUCCCCCCGUA